This is a long non-coding RNA of Ananas comosus (pineapple), 497 nucleotides long. RefSeq lists it as uncharacterized. The record is from RefSeq and is a predicted model, not a curated record. NCBI's taxonomy places the organism in Eukaryota, Viridiplantae, Streptophyta, Magnoliopsida, Poales, Bromeliaceae. The transcript is spliced from 2 exons.
GGGGAUACCGCCUGCCCCCGCGCGCCGACAUCAACGACGUCCUCCGCGCCCUCGCCAACGAGGCCGGCUGGAUCGUCCUCUCCGACGGCACCACCUACCGCUCUCUCCCUCACCACCUCCAAUGCACCACGAGCUACUGCGCCGCCGCAGCGCCGACAAGCGGCCACGUCAUCGGAGGCGGCGCCGCGCCGCUGCUCCGCCCCGCCGAUCCGGCGACGGUGGGCCCCGCCGCGGACGGGGGAGGCGGCGCCGAUGCCGACGUGGCGUCCUACGUGCAGCUGCUGAGUGUGCUUGGGGAUCGAAGCACGGUGAACCGUUGGAUUGAACCAUAACGCCGCGUCGGAAUUUUUGGUAUUUGGGGGUUUUACAGUAAUAGGGUUUCGUCCAUACGUAUUCAUUCAGGACUUUUUUUUGGUAAUUUCUUGGUACUUGGAGAACUUUUGGAGUAUACAAAGAUAGAAAAGCACCCUAUCUAUUUACUUUCCUAUUUCUCCCAA